CCUGGCAACUGGGACAUCGUCAGGUGCUGCAGGUCUCAGCCGAAGGGCGUUAGAAACUGCGCUCGCAUCGAGCAGUUUCCAGCCUCCUGGGUAAGGGAGCAGUAUCCUCCCUUGCUUGGGACUCUGGAAGCAUCUCAUUCCGGUGAAAGUAAGGGACAGCUUAGGACCAGAAGCCUUUCGCGGAGAAAAGGCUGACAUGCCCGUUCUAUAUGACAGGUUACUGAAGCUAAAGGAGAUGUUUAACUCCAAGUUUGGAUCUAUUCCCAAGUUUUAUGUUCGAGCACCAGGAAGAGUCAACAUAAUAGGAGAGCAUAUAGAUUAUUGUGGAUAUUCUGUUCUUCCUAUGGCUGUAGAACAAGAUGUGCUAAUAGCUGUAGAACCUGUGAAAACGUACACUCUCCAACUGGCCAAUACAAAUCCCUUGUAUCCGAAUUUAUCAAUUUCCUUUAGGUUGCUUAUUUGAACUCUUUC
RNAcentral lists this small RNA (471 nucleotides) under Pongo abelii (Sumatran orangutan). RNAcentral's name for it is "processed transcript". The record is from RNAcentral. Lineage: Eukaryota; Metazoa; Chordata; Mammalia; Primates; Hominidae.